This 177-nucleotide unclassified non-coding RNA is filed under the name uncultured fungus. RNAcentral's name for it is "sequence contains ITS1". The record is from RNAcentral. Lineage: Eukaryota; Fungi.
UUGUUCAAUUUACUCGAACUCCGACGCAGAGAUGCAGGGUGGGAGGGCCUCCGGGGGCGCCCGCCGUCGAAACGGCAGGGUCGCCCCCGAAGCAACGAGAUGUGUUCACAAAGGGUUGGAGGUCGGGCCCGGGGCCCUCGCUCAGUAAUGAUCCCUCCGCAGGUUCACCUACGGAGA